RNAcentral lists this ribosomal RNA (467 nucleotides) under uncultured bacterium. RNAcentral describes it as "partial 16S ribosomal RNA". It matches the Rfam family "Bacterial small subunit ribosomal RNA", at positions 28 to 507 of the family's 1533-position model. The record is from RNAcentral.
GAUGAACGCUGGCGGCGUGCCUAACACAUGCAAGUCGGGGGGCAGGGUAAUCCGGGCCCGGCGAGCGGGGCCGGAACACGCGAACGACCUGCGCUGGUGUCGGGGUUAACUGGCCCAACGGCCGGGUAGUACGGCAAAUGGCGCCCACCUCUAAUCUGGACGCCCACUUCGCAUGAGGCGUUAGGAGGGGUUGGCUGCUUAUCAGCUAGUUUGUGCGGUUACGGCGCACCCAGGCGAUGACGGGUAGCUGGUGUGAGGGGAUGGCCAGCAACAUUGGGACUGCGCGGAGGCCCAGACUACUACGGGAGGCAGCAGUGGGGAAUAUUGCGCGAUGGGCGAACGCCUGACGCCGCGACGCCGCGUGGAGGAUGAGGCCCUUCGGGGUGUAAACUCCGGUUGCGCGGGAAGAAUGCCUCGCAUCGGCGGGGUUGACGGUACCGGAUGAAGAAGCACCGGCUAACUCUGUG